AGAGUCGCAGUCCACUUCCUGUUGUGUUCUGAUCAAGUCAACACCAUGUCUGCCUGCACAAAGCCAUCUCCCCACCGUGAUGACAAUGGGCUGAACCUCUGAACUACAAAAAUGCCAGCUCCUAGAGGUGACCCUAAGGACUCCAAAGAAGACAGCUGGGGCACAGACCUGACUGUGGUAAUGCUAACCAUGGGAAGAGCUGCCCAUGCCUCAUCUGCUGCCAAGGCUCUGCCCAAACUGUGGACCCUGUAGGGUUGACUGUCACACUCUGGCUCGUCCAAGUGAGGGCCCUGGUGCCGGGAGACUCAGCCUGACGCCCACGAAGACGGUCCCCACCGGGACGAGCAGCACAGCCUGACCCCCACCGGGACGCGCAGCACAGCCUGACCCCCACCGGGACGGGCAUCACGGCCUGACCCCCACCGGGACGCGCAGCACAGCCUGACCCCCACCGGGACGCGCAGCACGGCCUGACCCCCACCGGGACGGGCAUCACAGCCUGACCCCCACCGGACGCGCAGCACAGCCUGACCCCCACCGGGACGCACAGCACAGCCUGACCCCCACCGGGACGCGCAGCACAGCCUGACCCCCACCGGGACGCACAGCACAGCCUGACCCCCACCGGGACGCGCAGCACAG
Molecule: long non-coding RNA, 642 nt
Filed under: Cricetulus griseus (Chinese hamster)
Lineage: Eukaryota; Metazoa; Chordata; Mammalia; Rodentia; Cricetidae
Description: lncRNA (ENSCGRG00015042581.1)
Source: RNAcentral